Molecule: ribosomal RNA, 460 nt
Filed under: uncultured bacterium
Lineage: Bacteria
Description: partial 16S ribosomal RNA
Rfam family: Bacterial small subunit ribosomal RNA
Source: RNAcentral
CCUACGGGCGGCUGCAGUGAGGAAUAUUGGUCAAUGGACGCAAGUCUGAACCAGCCAUGCCGCGUGCAGGAUGACGGCUCUAUGAGUUGUAAACUGCUUUUGUACGAGGGUAAACUCAGAUACGCGUAUCUGUCUGAAUGUAUCGUAUGAAUAAGGAUCGGCUAACUCCGUGCCAGCAGCCGCGGUAAUACGGAGGAUUCAAGCGUUAUCCGGAUUUCUUGGGUUUAAAGGGUGCGUAGACGGUCUGUUAAGUUAGUGGUGAAAUCCUGAGGCUCAACUUCGGAAUUGCCUUUGAUACUGUUCGGCUAGAGAGUAGUUGCGGUAGGCGGAAUGUGUGGUGUAGCGGUGAAAUGCUUAGAGAGCAUGCAGAACACCGAUUGCGAAGGCAGCUUACCAAGCUACUACUGACGUUGAGGCACGAAAGCGUGGGGAGCAAACAGGAUUAGAUACCCGGGUAGUC